UGAACGCUGGCGGCGUGCCUAAUACAUGCAAGUCGAGCGAACAGACGAGGAGCUUGCUCCUCUGCCGUUAGCGGCGGACGGGUGAGUAACACGUGGAUAACCUACCUAUAAGACUGGGAUAACUUCGGGAAACCGGAGCUAAUACCGGAUAAUAUAUUGAACCGCAUGGUUCAAUAGUGAAAGACGGUUUUGCUGUCACUUAUAGAUGGAUCCGCGCCGCAUUAGCUAGUUGGUAAGGUAACGGCUUACCAAGGCAACGAUGCGUAGCCGACCUGAGAGGGUGAUCGGCCACACUGGAACUGAGACACGGUCCAGACUCCUACGGGAGGCAGCAGUAGGGAAUCUUCCGCAAUGGGCGAAAGCUUGACGGAGCAACGCCGCGUGAGUGAUGAAGGUCUUCGGAUCGUAAAACUCUGUUAUUAGGGAAGAACAAAUGUGUAAGUAACUAUGCACGUCUUGACGGUACCUAAUCAGAAAGCCACGGCUAACUACGUG
Molecule: ribosomal RNA, 495 nt
Filed under: uncultured bacterium
Lineage: Bacteria
Description: partial 16S ribosomal RNA
Rfam family: Bacterial small subunit ribosomal RNA
Source: RNAcentral